This 292-nucleotide ribosomal RNA is filed under the name uncultured bacterium. Its description in RNAcentral is "partial 16S ribosomal RNA". It matches the Rfam family "Bacterial small subunit ribosomal RNA", at positions 505 to 796 of the family's 1533-position model. The record is from RNAcentral.
GUGCCAGCAGCCGCGGUAAGACAGAGGAGCCAAGCGUUGUCCGGACUGACUGGGCGUAAAGCGCACGCAGGCGGCGCUGUGCGUGGGGUGUGAAAGCUCUUGGCUUAACUGAGAGAGGCCAUCCCAUACGGCAGCGCUCGAGCGGUGCAGAGGUCCGCGGAAUUGCCGGUGUAGUGGUGAAAUGCGUAGAGAUCGGCAGGAACACCCAGGGGGAAACCAGCGGACUGGGCAUCGGCUGACGCUCAGGUGCGACAGCGUGGGGAGCGAACCGGAUUAGAUACCCCCGUAGUCC